RNAcentral lists this ribosomal RNA (351 nucleotides) under Triticum aestivum (bread wheat). RNAcentral describes it as "partial small subunit ribosomal RNA". The record is from RNAcentral. Lineage: Eukaryota; Viridiplantae; Streptophyta; Magnoliopsida; Poales; Poaceae.
AUGGCGGAGGAACCGUCCGCCAAGCGUCAUCAUGCCGAGACGUCGGACAAGAGGAGCAACCUCGUCGACAUUAAAGUCCCCGGCGAGAAGCGCAACUACACCAGAACGCUCGAAGGGGUUGAGCUCCACGGCAAGGAGACGCUGGAGAUCGUCUGCACCAGUGAACCAGACAGGGCCGACAAGGUGAUCUCCAGGCUAUGGAGGAAGCUUGGCGGCAUGUUUCGUAGGAUCGUCGGCGUUGGUGUGCACUACACCAACGAAGAUGGACCUCCCCAGAUGGCGGCAGUCCUGCAGUUGUGCGUCGACGAACUCUGCUUGGUGUACCACAUCGCCGCGGCCACAAAAUGGUGA